RNAcentral lists this ribosomal RNA (253 nucleotides) under uncultured bacterium. RNAcentral's name for it is "partial 16S ribosomal RNA". It matches the Rfam family "Bacterial small subunit ribosomal RNA", at positions 524 to 776 of the family's 1533-position model. The record is from RNAcentral.
UACAGAGGUCUCAAGCGUUGUUCGGAUUCAUUGGGCGUAAAGGGUGCGUAGGCGGCGCGGUAAGUCGGGUGUGAAAUCUCGGAGCUUAACUCCGAAACUGCAUUCGAUACUGCCGUGCUUGAGGACUGGAGAGGAGACUGGAAUUUACGGUGUAGCGGUGAAAUGCGUAGAUAUCGUAAGGAAGACCAGUGGCGAAGGCGGCGAUCUGGGCAGAUACUGACGCUGAGGUGCGAAAGCGUGGGGAGCAAACAGG